RNA transcript from Humulus lupulus (European hop), 2010 nucleotides. It is a transcript of the gene named small glutamine-rich tetratricopeptide repeat-containing protein 2, with no coding region annotated. The record is from RefSeq and is a predicted model, not a curated record. The transcript has 6 exons. NCBI's taxonomy places the organism in Eukaryota, Viridiplantae, Streptophyta, Magnoliopsida, Rosales, Cannabaceae.
AUUUUUUGACCUAUUUCCGAGUUAUCACAUUGCAACAGUAAAACUUUAUUUUUCCCUACGACAUUCAUUAGUCCGUGGUUUGUUUGUUCCCUGCUGAAACCUCUAAGUGUGAGUCAGUGAGUUAAAUCGGUCACCGAAGAGUCCGAGUCCGUUCCAAUUUCCAAAGCGGCCCAACAAGGAAGAAAUGGAGGUGCUGUUACCAAACAGAACCCUGUCAUUCUCAAAACCAACUGCUACUUGUUUUCCCAAACGACGUCGUCUUCACCGUCGUUGUUGUUUUAUCUCACAGCUCGAAGAAAUCCGGGUCUGUACCAACCGAACUUGCCGAAGACAGGGUUCCCUUCUAACCCUAGAAACCCUCACCGGUAUCGCUCCGCCCACCGUCACCGUCAAGUCAUGCGGAUGCUUAAGCCGCUGCGGCGCCGGUCCAAACCUCGUUGCAUUGCCCAGCGCCGUCGUGGUCAGCCAUUGUGGUACCGCAGCUCGCUCGGCUGAGGUUCUAGCCGCUCUCUGCGGAGCUUCAUGGGACGCUGACGCCGCCAAGAAGAGCCUCGAAGCCCUUGCAUUGAGGAAGAAAGCGGAGAUCGAGUUUGAUAAGGGCAAUUUUUCCCAGGCCGAGUUGCUACUUUCUCAGGCUAUAGAGUUAAAACCAAUGGGAGGUAUGAAUAUCAUAUACAAAGACAGGUCUCGUACAAGGUUGGCAAUGGAUAAAUAUCAUGAAGCCCUUGCAGAUGCUAAAGAGGCUUUGGUGUUUACUCCUCAGUAUGUCGAGGCCUACAUUUGCCAAGGUGAUGCAUUCCUGGCCAUGAAUCGAUUCGAUACAGCAGAGAAGUCAUAUUUAACAGCUCUAGAGAUUGACCCAUCUAUUCGUCGUUCGAAAUCAUUCAAGGCUCGUAUUGCAAAUCUUCAGGAGAAAGUCGCUUCUGUAAAUAUGCCUUAGUAUUUUCAAUGCAAGUGAAGUGACACCUUUGACAACAACAAAAAUAUGAAGACCAACACUCCAAACAUCUUCUACUUAAAAUCCAGCGGGUGGAGCAAUACCUUCAGCAAGAUUAGCAAAAAGAUGGGAUGCCUCCAGCACAUUAAUAUCAUUAUUAUCCCGGCAGACCAAAAUAUGCAUGCUAUAUCCAAAGGUCAUAGUCAGCUACAGCUUCAAGAAUAAUGGUUGGGGAUCCACUACAACCAGCUGUUGGAAAUUUUUUCCAUUUCCAAUGCAUACAAUCUAAACUACCCAGCAUUCCUGGAAAACCCCAGCGUUCACCAAUGUGGAGUAGUCUUGCAACAUCAUCAACGUUAGGUGAUCGUAGAUAGCGAGCUCCAAACACCUCGGCAAAAUCGCUUCAAACUUUCUAAAACUGUAGAUUCUCCAAUUUUUAUGUACUCCUCGGUAGCAUCUGCAGUACACCAGAUGCUAACAUUCGAAAUACAGCUGUUACCUUUUGCAAGUCGGACAACCCAAGUUUACCGAGUCCGUCCCUUCGUUGGACGAAGUAAUUGUCAUGCCUUUGAAUAGCAUCAAAUAUACGAAAGAAUAAAGGACGACCCAUUCGAAAUCUUCGUCGACACAUCGAAUCAUUAAAUCGGGGAUUUUCUACAAAAUAGUCAUUGAAGAGAUUGCGAUCAACAUUUUCCUAGUCACGGUUGAUAACUAUAUGACCAGGAAUUGAGCCCCGGCGUGACCCAUCGUUAUUGAGGUGUUGAGUGAUGCAAAAAUUGUUGUUUGCAGUAAUUUGACAUACCACUUGAUUUUCUAGAUCAUCAUAAUAAUCAUCAUCUGAAGAUGAUGAUAAAUAAGAUGAACUGCCAUAAUAAGAAUUCAUCUUUUAUCAAAGCUAAUUUGUGUGUGUAUUAUGGUCUGCAUGAUAUCCAUAUUUUAUAGUGUACAUAAUCUUAUCUUUAAUUUUUCAAAAUUUAAAGAUAAGAAUAUUGACGAAUUGAUUUAGACCAUAGAUUACUUUGACUAUGAUCUCAACCGUUGCAUUUGAAGAUAGAAUAUCGUAUCUCUUGGCA